RNAcentral lists this microRNA (21 nucleotides) under Drosophila ananassae. Its description in RNAcentral is "Dan-Novel-11_3p (mature (guide))". The record is from RNAcentral. Lineage: Eukaryota; Metazoa; Arthropoda; Insecta; Diptera; Drosophilidae.
AAAGCAGUGGGAAAAUCUCUG